Molecule: ribosomal RNA, 232 nt
Filed under: uncultured bacterium
Lineage: Bacteria
Description: partial 16S ribosomal RNA
Rfam family: Bacterial small subunit ribosomal RNA
Source: RNAcentral
UCGGAAUUACUGGGCGUAAAGGGCGCGUAGGCGGUGUGUCAAGUCAGGCGUGAAAGCCCCGGGCUCAACCUGGGAACUGCGCUUGAGACUGGCACGCUCGAGUUCGGGAGAGGAUGGUGGAAUUCCCAGUGUAGAGGUGAAAUUCGUAGAUAUUGGGAAGAACACCGAUGGCGAAGGCAGCCAUCUGGACCGACACUGACGCUGAGGCGCGAAAGCGUGGGGAGCAAACAGG